UCUUGACUUUUGAAAAAAAUUUAAUGCACAAGUAAAAUCACUAUAUAUAAUGCAUAGCUAUCGCAAUUUGUUUAAACAAUUUAACCAAUUAAGUGUUUGUUAAUUUUUUAAUGCAAUUUUUUAUCAUCAAUCCUAUCUAAAGAUUCGUAGGCAACCCUGUUUUGCUUGACUUUUGAAAAACUUAAUUUUCCGCACAAAUGAAUAAAGUUCCGCUUUAAUUUUCAACAAUUUCUAUGCAACUGCACUGUAGAAACGCACUCAUAACUCUGGGAUUCCCUCUUUUCAAACUUACCCAACUCGACGAAAAAGUGAUGAGCUUGCACUCCAAGACUCCAAUAAAAGCCGGAGUAUUUUCCCUUAUCCGCUCGAACCGGCACUCAAGAACUUUUUAUGCUUUUCGUGGUUUUCUACGAAAUAUAAACAACACUUGAAGAAAACCGCCAGCGACCGAGUACGACAGCUGCAUGCGCCCUGGCAUUCGAGUACCUAAUGAAGCGGCCAAGCAAAAUCGGGGCCUGACAGACCCUAAACCCAAACGUCACUUUCCCCGCCUACUGGGGUUCCCUACUAAAAAAGACUGUCAUCCAAAAUAUCAGAAACGGGCACUUUUCGAAACAUUUAUUUGGGCAUUAUAUACUUCAUUUCAUUAAACACAUAUUCCGGUCGGGUUUAGCUUGAGAUUUUCUUUAGCGUUCAACUCAAUUUUGAUUUCAUGUAGCUUUUAAUAGUUAAAAUGUACUUGCUUACUGUGUAGUUUUCCCUAGACUAUGGGCGACAAUUAUUAUUGAACUAGUCCUAAAUUUUAUUUAAUUUGUGUGUACUUUUUUUGUAUGCAUAACAUGGUUUGUGUGAGAGUUUCCCUUUAAAUAUAUAUUUUUCGAAAAUAUACAUGGGCACAUUAAGUGGUAACUAAAGUACGAUUACGAUACUGAGCUUAACUGAAUCGUUUUUCCCCUUUGAUAGACAUUAAUUAAUACGUUUUCAUUCAGCAGCGAAUGUUACAUAGGCUUCCAGAUUAAUCUUGUAAUACUUUUACCAAUUUUGUGGAAAUCUACUGCCAUUGCACAAUUAUAACCUGUAUUCAGUUGCUUUUUGCAU
Molecule: non-coding RNA, 1098 nt
Organism: Drosophila suzukii
Lineage: Eukaryota; Metazoa; Arthropoda; Insecta; Diptera; Drosophilidae
Source: RefSeq, a predicted model, not a curated record